AGCCGCAAUACGUGCUAAGGUAGCAUAAUAAUUUGUCUAUUAAAUGUAGACUCGAACAAAAGAUUUAACAUUUCAAAAAAUUUCUUUAAUUUAAAAUUUAAAUUUUUCCUAAGUGUAAAAAGACACUUAUUUAAAAAAAAGACGACAAGACCCUAUUGAACUUAACUUAAGUUAAACUGGGGCAGUAAAUUAAUUAUUAUUUUAAUAUAUAUUUCUAUAAAUAAAAUCUAUUUAAAAUAAUUAAUCAAGUUACCAUAGGGAUAACAGUGUAAUAAUAUUUAAGAGACCUUAUCUAAAAAAUAGAUUACAACCUCGAUGUUGAAUUAAUAACCUAAUCCAAGCAAAAUUCUAAUAAGGAGGCCUGUUCGGCCUUUAAAAAAUUACAUGAUUUGAGUUCAAACCGGUGUAAGCCAGGUUGGUUUCUAUCUUUUAAAAAAUUAUUUACAGUACGAAAGGACCUAUUUAUAUUUAAAGAAUAUGGCAGAAUAUUGCAUUAGAAUUAGAAUCUAAUUAAAAAAAA
This 520-nucleotide ribosomal RNA is filed under the name Amycinae sp. AABBT. RNAcentral's name for it is "partial 16S ribosomal RNA". The stretch from base 136 to 431 matches the Rfam family "Bacterial large subunit ribosomal RNA", at positions 2074 to 2646 of the family's 2925-position model. Lineage: Eukaryota; Metazoa; Arthropoda; Arachnida; Araneae; Salticidae. The record is from RNAcentral.